This 429-nucleotide ribosomal RNA is filed under the name Actinomycetes bacterium. Its description in RNAcentral is "Actinobacteria bacterium partial 16S ribosomal RNA". It matches the Rfam family "Bacterial small subunit ribosomal RNA", at positions 355 to 776 of the family's 1533-position model. The record is from RNAcentral. Lineage: Bacteria; Bacillati; Actinomycetota; Actinomycetes.
UAGGGAAUCUUCCGCAAUGGGCGAAAGCCUGACGGAGCAACGCCGCGUGAGUGAUGAAGGUCUUCGGAUCGUAAAACUCUGUUAUUAGGGAAGAACAAAUGUGUAAGUAACUAUGCACGUCUUGACGGUACCUAAUCAGAAAGCCACGGCUAACUACGUGCCAGCAGCCGCGGUAAUACGUAGGUGGCAAGCGUUAUCCGGAAUUAUUGGGCGUAAAGCGCGCGUAGGCGGUUUUUUAAGUCUGAUGUGAAAGCCCACGGCUCAACCGUGGAGGGUCAUUGGAAACUGGAAAACUUGAGUGCAGAAGAGGAAAGUGGAAUUCCAGGUGUAGCGGUGAAAUGCGCAGAGAUAUGGAGGAACACCAGUGGCGAAGGCGACUUUAUGGUCUGUAACUGACGCUGAUGUGCGAAAGCGUGGGGAUCAAACAGG